RNAcentral lists this ribosomal RNA (294 nucleotides) under uncultured bacterium. RNAcentral describes it as "partial 16S ribosomal RNA". It matches the Rfam family "Bacterial small subunit ribosomal RNA", at positions 333 to 644 of the family's 1533-position model. The record is from RNAcentral.
AUGUACCUACGGGCGGCAGCAGUGGGGGAUAUUGCACAAUGGGGGGAACCCUGAUGCAGCGACGCCGCGUGGGUGAAGGAGCGUUUCGGCGCGUAAAGCCCUCUCGGCAGGGAAGAAGAUGACGGUACCUGACCAAGAAGCCCCGGCUAACUACGUGCCAGCAGCCGCGGUAAUACGUAGGGGGCAAGCGUUAUCCGGAUUUACUGGGUGUAAAGGGGGCGCAGACGGCACUGCAAGCCAGGAGUGAAAGCCCGGGGCCCCACCCCGGGACUGCUCUUGGAACUGCAUGGCUGG